Molecule: long non-coding RNA, 101 nt
Organism: Sapajus apella (tufted capuchin)
Lineage: Eukaryota; Metazoa; Chordata; Mammalia; Primates; Cebidae
Exons: 4
Source: RefSeq, a predicted model, not a curated record
CCUAGCCCGCUGUUGGAAAACCCCACCAAAAUUUGAAAGAAGCCCCGCCAAAACCUGCCCGAUAGCAUUUUGCCCCAUCCAGCCUGCUCACUGGUAAGCCU